CCUACGGGUGGCAGCAGUGAGGAAUAUUGGACAAUGGGCGCGAGCCUGAACCAGCCAAGUAGCGUGAAGGAUGACGGCCCUACGGGUGGUAAACUUCUUUUAUAAAGGAAUAAAGUGAGGCACGUGUGCCCUUUUCCAUGUACGUUAUGAAUAAGGAUAGGCUAACUCCGUGCCAGCAGCCGCGGUAAUACGGCGGAGCCGAGCGUUAUCCGUAUUUAUUGGGUUUAAAGGGUGCGUAGAGGGGUUGUUAAGUCAGUUGUGAAAGUUUGCGGCUCAACCGUAAAAUUGCAAUUGAUACUGGCAGUCUUGAGUACAGUUGAGGUAGGCGGAAUUCGUGGUGUAGCGGUGAAAUGCUUAGAUAUCACGAAGAACUCCGAUUGCGAAGGCAGCUUACUAAACUGCGACUGACAUUGAUGCUCGAAAGUGUGGGUAUCAAACAGGAUUAGAUACCCGGGUAGUC
This 460-nucleotide ribosomal RNA is filed under the name uncultured bacterium. RNAcentral's name for it is "partial 16S ribosomal RNA". It matches the Rfam family "Bacterial small subunit ribosomal RNA", at positions 338 to 795 of the family's 1533-position model. The record is from RNAcentral.